AAAAAGGCGCCUAUCGGCGCCAUUAAAAUAUUUAUAUCAAUUAUUGU
This is a non-coding RNA of Butyrivibrio fibrisolvens 16/4, 47 nucleotides long. The record is from Rfam. NCBI's taxonomy places the organism in Bacteria, Bacillati, Bacillota, Clostridia, Lachnospirales, Lachnospiraceae.